RNAcentral lists this unclassified non-coding RNA (338 nucleotides) under rhizosphere metagenome. RNAcentral's name for it is "partial ribosomal RNA internal transcribed spacer region". The record is from RNAcentral.
GUAGGUGAACCUGCGGAAGGAUCAUUAAUGCAAAAUGGAGUGUAAUCUUUUCUGUCAACUUGGCGCGGGCAUUGUUCCGCCUGGAUUUGCAUAAAAGGCCACACGCUAUCUUAACCUCCCAAACGCUCGACUUUUUUGUUUUAUCAAAAAAGCUCGACGUCACAAGUAACCUGAGACGUUUUUCUUUUCUGUUGAAGACGAGAAAAAUGUUCUCUACUUUUUUACACCAUAAUUACCCUAUUUCUAUAAACUAUUAGACUGAUAUAAAAACAUUUACCUUGAUAAAUGUUAAAAAACAAAUUAUUGAACAACUCUUAGCAAUGGAUAUCUAGGCUCUC